AGUGAACGCUGGCGGUAGGCCUAACACAUGCAAGUCGAACGGCAGCACAGUAAGAGCUUGCUCUUACGGGUGGCGAGUGGCGGACGGGUGAGGAAUACAUCGGAAUCUACUUUUUCGUGGGGGAUAACGUAGGGAAACUUACGCUAAUACCGCAUACGACCUACGGGUGAAAGUAGGGGAUCUUCGGACCUUGCGCGAUUGAAUGAGCCGAUGUCGGAUUAGCUAGUUGGCGGGGUAAAGGCCCACCAAGGCGACGAUCCGUGGCUGGUCUGAGAGGAUGAUCAGCCACACUGGAACUGAGACACGGUCCAGACUCCUACGGGAGGCAGCAGUGGGGAAUAUUGGACAAUGGGCGCAAGCCUGAUCCAGCCAUACCGCGUGGGUGAAGAAGGCCUUCGGGUUGUAAAGCCCUUUUGUUGGGAAAGAAAAGCAGCAGGUUAAUACCCCGCUGUUCUGACGGUACCCAAAGAAUAAGCACCGGCUAACUUCGUG
This 492-nucleotide ribosomal RNA is filed under the name uncultured bacterium. RNAcentral's name for it is "partial 16S ribosomal RNA". It matches the Rfam family "Bacterial small subunit ribosomal RNA", at positions 29 to 507 of the family's 1533-position model. The record is from RNAcentral.